GGAAGUAAAAGUCGUAACAAGGUCUCCGUUGGUGAACCAGCGGAGGGAUCAUUACCGAGUUUUCAACUCCCAAACCCUUAUGUGAACCUACCUAUCGUUGCUUCGGCGGACUCGCCCCAGCCGGACGCGGACUGGACCAGCGGCCGCCGGGGACCAUCAAACUCUUGUAUUAUCAGCAUCUUCUGAAUACGCCGCAAGGCAAAACAAAUAAAUUAAAACUUUCAACAACGGAUCUCUUGGCUCUGGCAUCGAUGAAGAACGCAGCGAAAUGCGAUAAGUAAUGUGAAUUGCAGAAUCCAGUGAAUCAUCGAAUCUUUGAACGCACAUUGCGCCCGCCAGCAUUCUGGCGGGCAUGCCUGUUCGAGCGUCAUUUCAACCCUCGACCUCCCUUUGGGGAAGUCGGCGUUGGGGACCGGCAGCACACCGCCGGCCCUGAAAUGGAGUGGCGGCCCGUCCGCGGCGACCUCUGCGUAGUAAACCAACUCGCACCGGAACCCCGACGUGGCCACGCCGUAAAACACCCAACUUCUGAACGUUGACCUCGAAUCAGGUAGGACUACCCGCUGAACUUAAGCAUAUCAAUAAGCGGAGGA
Molecule: ribosomal RNA, 593 nt
Filed under: Beauveria bassiana
Lineage: Eukaryota; Fungi; Ascomycota; Sordariomycetes; Hypocreales; Cordycipitaceae
Also listed under: 2 other names
Description: eukaryotic LSU rRNA
Rfam family: 5.8S ribosomal RNA (bases 217-370)
Source: RNAcentral